This 85-nucleotide transfer RNA is filed under the name Felis catus (domestic cat). It matches the Rfam family "tRNA". Rfam says of the family: Transfer RNA (tRNA) molecules are approximately 80 nucleotides in length. Their secondary structure includes four short double-helical elements and three loops (D, anti-codon, and T loops). Further hydrogen bonds mediate the characteristic L-shaped molecular structure. tRNAs have two regions of fundamental functional importance: the anti-codon, which is responsible for specific mRNA codon recognition, and the 3' end, to which the tRNAs corresponding amino acid is attached (by aminoacyl-tRNA synthetases). tRNAs cope with the degeneracy of the genetic code in two manners: having more than one tRNA (with a specific anti-codon) for a particular amino acid; and 'wobble' base-pairing, i.e. permitting non-standard base-pairing at the 3rd anti-codon position. The record is from Rfam by way of RNAcentral. Lineage: Eukaryota; Metazoa; Chordata; Mammalia; Carnivora; Felidae.
GCCUGGGUGGCUCAGUUGGUUAAGCAACUGACUUCAGCUCAGGACAUGAUCUCGUGGUUUGUGGGUUCAAGUCCCACAUUGGACU